This 465-nucleotide ribosomal RNA is filed under the name Vreelandella stevensii. Its description in RNAcentral is "partial 16S ribosomal RNA". It matches the Rfam family "Bacterial small subunit ribosomal RNA", at positions 338 to 795 of the family's 1533-position model. Lineage: Bacteria; Pseudomonadati; Pseudomonadota; Gammaproteobacteria; Oceanospirillales; Halomonadaceae. The record is from RNAcentral.
CCUACGGGGGGCUGCAGUGGGGAAUAUUGGACAAUGGGGGCAACCCUGAUCCAGCCAUGCCGCGUGUGUGAAGAAGGCCCUCGGGUUGUAAAGCGCUUUCAGUGAGGAAGAACGCCUGGUGGUUAAUACCCAUCAGGAAAGACAUCACUCACAGAAGAAGCACCGGCUAACUCCGUGCCAGCAGCCGCGGUAAUACGGAGGGUGCGAGCGUUAAUCGGAAUUACUGGGCGUAAAGCGCGCGUAGGUGGCUUGAUAAGCCGGUUGUGAAAGCCCCGGGCUCAACCUGGGAACGGCAUCCGGAACUGUCAAGCUAGAGUGCAGGAGAGGAAGGUAGAAUUCCCGGUGUAGCGGUGAAAUGCGUAGAGAUCGGGAGGAAUACCAGUGGCGAAGGCGGCCUUCUGGACUGACACUGACACUGAGGUGCGAAAGCGUGGGUAGCAAACAGGAUUAGAUACCCCAGUAGUC